GAUGAACGCUGGCGGCGUGCCUAACACAUGCAAGUCGAGCGAACAGACGAGGAGCUUGGGCCGCUGGGGUUAGAGGCGGACGGGAGAGUAACAUGUGGAUAACAUACCUAUAAGAAAGGGAUAACUUCGGGAAACCGGAGCUAAGACCGGAAAAUAUAUUGAACAGCAUGGUGCAAUAGUGAAAGACGGUUUUGCUGGCGCUUAUAGAUGGAUCAGCGCCGCAUUCGUUAGUUGGUAAGGUAACGGCUUACCAAGGCAAGGAUGCUUAGACGACCUGAGAGGGUGGUCGGCCAGACUGUGAGUGAGACACGGUCCAGACUCCUACGGGGGGCAGCAGUAGGGAAUCUUGCGCAAUGGACGAGAGCCUGACGGAGCAACGCGGCGUGAGUGAUGAAGGACUUCGGCUGGUAAAGCUCUGUUAUUAGGGAGGAUGAAAUGUGUUUUUAGCUGUGCACAUCUUGACGGUACCUGAUGAAGAAGCCACGGCUAACUCCGUG
This 497-nucleotide ribosomal RNA is filed under the name uncultured bacterium. RNAcentral describes it as "partial 16S ribosomal RNA". It matches the Rfam family "Bacterial small subunit ribosomal RNA", at positions 28 to 507 of the family's 1533-position model. The record is from RNAcentral.